Molecule: long non-coding RNA, 244 nt
Filed under: Manihot esculenta (cassava)
Lineage: Eukaryota; Viridiplantae; Streptophyta; Magnoliopsida; Malpighiales; Euphorbiaceae
Description: long non-coding RNA (MESC_LNC012696)
Source: RNAcentral
GGAGGACCAGGGUUCUCUUCUCAGAGCUCAGGUAAGAAGAGGUGGGAUAGCACCACCAAGAAGCCGAAGAAGAAUAAGUUUUGGAACAAGUUGAAAUCCGGUCUGGGAUUCGGCGGUGGCUCGAGCUCAGGCUCAGAUGGUACAGAAUGCCAGAGAUGUGGAAGACCACACAGGGGAGUGUGUCGAGCUGGGACUAAUGCAUGUUUCAGAUGUGGACAGGAGGGACACAUAGCUCGGGAUUGUC